GGCCCCGUAGCUCAGCUGGAUAGAGCAACUGCCUUCUAAGCCGUAGGUCGCAGGUUCGAAUCCUGCCGGGGUCGCCA
RNAcentral lists this transfer RNA (77 nucleotides) under Methylocystaceae bacterium. RNAcentral describes it as "tRNA-Arg". It matches the Rfam family "tRNA". From Rfam's summary of the family: Transfer RNA (tRNA) molecules are approximately 80 nucleotides in length. Lineage: Bacteria; Pseudomonadati; Pseudomonadota; Alphaproteobacteria; Hyphomicrobiales; Methylocystaceae. The record is from RNAcentral.